This 254-nucleotide ribosomal RNA is filed under the name uncultured bacterium. RNAcentral's name for it is "partial 16S ribosomal RNA". It matches the Rfam family "Bacterial small subunit ribosomal RNA", at positions 524 to 776 of the family's 1533-position model. The record is from RNAcentral.
UACGAAGGUGGCAAGCGUUGUUCGGAUUUACUGGGCGUACAGGGAGCGUAGGCGGUUGGGUAAGCCCUCCGUGAAAUCUCCGGGCCUAACCCGGAAAGUGCGGAGGGGACUGCUCGGCUAGAGGAUGGGAGAGGAGCGCGGAAUUCCCGGUGUAGAGGUGAAAUUCGUAGAUAUCGAGAGGAACACCGGUGGCGAAGGCGGCGAUCUGGACGAUGACUGACGGCUGAGACGCGAAAGCGUGGGGAGCAAACAGG